This 497-nucleotide ribosomal RNA is filed under the name uncultured bacterium. RNAcentral's name for it is "partial 16S ribosomal RNA". It matches the Rfam family "Bacterial small subunit ribosomal RNA", at positions 28 to 507 of the family's 1533-position model. The record is from RNAcentral.
GAUGAACGCUGGCGGCGUGCCUAAUACAUGCAAGUCGAGCGAACAGACGAGGAGCUUGCUCCUCUGACGUUAGCGGCGGACGGGUGAGUAACACGUGGAUAACCUACCUAUAAGACUGGGAUAACUUCGGGAAACCGGAGCUAAUACCGGAUAAUAUAUUGAACCGCAUGGUUCAAUAGUGAAAGACGGUUUUGCUGUCACUUAUAGAUGGAUCCGCGCCGCAUUAGCUAGUUGUUAAGGUAACGGCUUACCAAGGCAACGAUGCGUAGCCGACCUAAGAGGAUGAUCGGCCACACUGGAACUGAGACACGGUCCCGGCUCCUACGGGAGGAAGCAGUAGGGACUCUUCCCCAAUGCGCGAAAGCCUGACGGAGCAACGCCGCGUGAGUGAUGAAGGUCUUCCGCUCGUUAAACUCUGUUAUCAGGGAAGAACAAAUGUGUAAGUAACUAUGCACGUCUUGACGGUACCUAAUCAGAAAGCCACGGCUAACUACGUG